RNAcentral lists this ribosomal RNA (468 nucleotides) under uncultured bacterium. RNAcentral describes it as "partial 16S ribosomal RNA". It matches the Rfam family "Bacterial small subunit ribosomal RNA", at positions 28 to 507 of the family's 1533-position model. The record is from RNAcentral.
GACGAACGCUGGCGGCGUGCUUAACACAUGCAAGUCGAACGGAAAGGCCCUGCUUUUGUGGGGUGCUCGAGUGGCGAACGGGUGAGUAACACGUGAGUAACCUGCCCUUGACUUUGGGAUAACUUCAGGAAACUGGGGCUAAUACCGGAUAGGAGCUCCUGCUGCAUGGUGGGGGUUGGAAAGUUUCGACGGUUGGGGAUGGACUCGCGGCUUAUCAGCUUGUUGGUGGGGUAGUGGCUUACCAAGGCUUUGACGGGUAGCCGGCCUGAGAGGGUGACCGGCCACAGCGGGACUGAGAUACCGCACAGACGCCUACGGGAGUCAGCAUUGGGGAGAAUUGGACAAUGGGCGGGAGCCUGAUGCAGCAACGGUGCGUGCGGGAUGACGGACUUCGGGAGUUAAAGCGCUUGCGCCGGUGACGAGGCAUGAGUGACGGUAAUCGGUAAAGAAGCACCGGCUAACUACGUG